Molecule: long non-coding RNA, 2178 nt
Organism: Haplochromis burtoni (Burton's mouthbrooder)
Lineage: Eukaryota; Metazoa; Chordata; Actinopteri; Cichliformes; Cichlidae
Exons: 3
Source: RefSeq, a predicted model, not a curated record
CGCCUUUCUGUGCGCUCCCUGUCCUCUCAGCGCUCAAUCCCAGCGAGUGCAGGCAUCACUGAAGACCUGACACCGGCGGAAUCGGACGUUCGCCGUCCUCGGCGGGACGCACCAGGUGUUGUGUUAUGCAAACUUCACUGCCAUCCGAUGACGCUGUCACAUCCCGUCGACGAGAAUGACCCCUGGCUUUGUCUGAGGAGCACACUUGGCCGUCUCCAAAACGCAGAGUCACAGGGGCAAGACAAUAACGCCCAGAAGUUAUAGAAAUGAAUUGUCGGGAAAAGAGCUGGAACGAGAAGAGGGGUGCUCACAGCGUUAGCCAUCGAUGCAGAGUGAAGGAGCGGGUAGAGGAGCAAAAAAGACAAGUGAAAGAGGUCCAGACUUGAAGGAGGCACGCAAGCACAGAGACACACACAUAAUGGCACCUAGAGGCUGUCUGCGGUCUACCACCACCCUACCACACACACACACACACACACACACAAACACACACACACACACACAUGCAUGCCAGUUACGCUAAAAAUCUGAACACUGAAGGAGGAUCAUUAUGGCCUCCUUCAGGAAGAAAACAAUGUUUUCUAGUUUUCUUCUCCAAGGAGAGAAACAUUGACAAGUUAUAUUCGAGAAAGCUACAAAAUUCAGUCAUUUAAAGAGCUUUGUAGUUUCCAGUACCAGCACUGUUAAAAGCUGUUUUUUGGUUUGAUUUAAUGCGAGAUGUAAAAAAACAAAACAAAAAAGCUUAAAUGUCAAAUUUAAAUUCUCACUUUUUUUAUUUCUAAUUUUCCAAGUCUUUGCUCAUGUCAUAUCUCAUAUCAUUUGCGAUUUGUCCACGUGUGCACGUGUGCUUAUGCCUGCUUCGUUUUUCAAUUUCUAUUUUCAUCAGUCAAAACCCAUCCACACAAGUCAAAUUUAACAGCUGCACCACAUAUCCCACAAGCCCCCUAACCCACCCUGUGUCCCUCCCAGGGUUCCCAGCAUCCUGCUUUGCACACCCUACCAAAAACCCAGGCAUGCUGAAAUUACAGUGUGUGGAGGAGGAUUGUGGGAAAGUGUUCCCUCCCUCUAACUCUGUAUUUGCCCUUUUCUGUUUUUUCCCCCUUCGUUCUGCUACAGUUUCGGACGUGUUCGGCUUAGUUUGAUGUUCGGUUAAGUGUCAAACCGAACGUUAAGUUGCAAUUUGCAUCAGCAAUAAGGGUGACUAAAGUUCAGCGUGAGAUUAACGAGGCACGAAUGUGGCGCUAAAUAAGAUUGACCCUGUUGUAUUGAUUAGUCUACGGCUAGGGUGAUAGUCUGUCCUGUUCUGAUACCGUCAGGGAAACGGCGUGUUUGUGCAUUUUAUGAGCUUGCACGCACACAGCUCAUUAGCAUAUAAAGAUUAAUUCAUUUGGUUUGAUGUUCUGUUCAGUAUGUCUUCAGAAUGUCACACUGAGGUAUGUGUGUGUGUGUAUUUAUACUACAAACACACGCAAAUGUAACAGGAUUUGUGUGUUGAAUUCAAUUUGCGAGGUUAAUAGAAGUAACCAAGAACAGUGUUGGACAUAGAGUUACACACGAUCUGCUGCCAGCUUGCAAAUAACUGUGAUUUGCCAGAUAAGACCAAGUAGUGUCAGCUACAGAGGCUUGAACUUGUAUUCAGCAGAAAAUCAUUGGAUUAUGCAAAGUGCAGUGCUCCUUGAAUCAGUUGUGGCAUUGUGCUCGCGGUUUGUAGCUUCAGGUUAACUGAAAGCACCGCCCUCGCACCGACCGUGUUCCUAACCAGCUCUAAUGAUACACCCCAUCAGUUCGGCUUCGCCUGCACCGGGGUUAGCUUGGUUAACAGUCGGCUGAGGUGAAGCGUGAGAGUGUGUGUGUGUGCCAGCUAUUAAAGCACUUCAGAAUCAGAGUGGAAAGGACUCGCACUGCUAAUGGACGUGUCUAUUGAUGUUCCCAUUUAGCGGCACACUGUAAACGAUAGGCCAAUGAUUGUGUUCAAGACGGAAGGAGGUGGAGGAGGAUUGAGAGCUGUUUGGCUGGGCGAUGAUAAUGACAAAGAAGGUUAUUAUUUGGCGCCCCAUGGAGUCUCUCUGGGCUUUGUGUGUGAUGGGGAGUAGCGAGAGAGGGUGAAGAGGUGCACUCUUUCUCUCUCUCUCUGUCUCUCUGUCUCUCUCCCUGCCUACUAGCUAUCUAUCUCCACUU